UACGGGGGGGGUAAGCGUUGUUCGGAAUUACUGGGCGUAAAGGGCUCGUAGGCGGCCAACUAAGUCCGACGUGAAAUCCCCAGGCUUAACCUGGGAACUGCGUCGGAUACUGGAUGGCUUGAAUCCGGGAGAGGGAUGCGGAAUUCCCGGUGUAGUGGUGAAAUGCGCAGAUAUCGGGAAGAACACCCGUGGCGAAGGCGGUUCUCUGGGACGGUACUGACGCUGAGACGCGAAAGCGUGGGGAGCGAACAGG
RNAcentral lists this ribosomal RNA (253 nucleotides) under uncultured bacterium. Its description in RNAcentral is "partial 16S ribosomal RNA". It matches the Rfam family "Bacterial small subunit ribosomal RNA", at positions 524 to 776 of the family's 1533-position model. The record is from RNAcentral.